UUAUGGUUAGUAUAUUUAUAGUACAAAAAUUUUUGAUAUUUUAGGAGAUAGAUUAAUUCUAUUAGCAUAAU
This 71-nucleotide transfer RNA is filed under the name Scolytoplatypus raja. RNAcentral describes it as "tRNA-Gln". The record is from RNAcentral. Lineage: Eukaryota; Metazoa; Arthropoda; Insecta; Coleoptera; Curculionidae.